ACGACUCUCGGCAACGGAUAUCUCGGCUCUCGCAUCGAUGAAGAACGUAGCGAAAUGCGAUACUUGGUGUGAAUUGCAGAAUCCCGUGAACCAUCGAGUCUUUGAACGCAAGUUGCGCCCAAAGCCGUUAGGYCGAGGGCACGUCUGCCUGGGCGUCACG
RNAcentral lists this ribosomal RNA (160 nucleotides) under Convolvulus reticulatus. RNAcentral describes it as "5.8S ribosomal RNA". It matches the Rfam family "5.8S ribosomal RNA". Rfam says of the family: 5.8S ribosomal RNA (5.8S rRNA) is a component of the large subunit of the eukaryotic ribosome. It is transcribed by RNA polymerase I as part of the 45S precursor that also contains 18S and 28S rRNA. The record is from RNAcentral. Lineage: Eukaryota; Viridiplantae; Streptophyta; Magnoliopsida; Solanales; Convolvulaceae.